GAUCCUGGCUCAGGAUGAACGCUAGCUACAGGCUUAACACAUGCAAGUCGAGGGGCAGCAUGAACUUAGCUUGCUAAGUUUGAUGGCGACCGGCGCACGGGUGAGUAACACGUAUCCAACCUGCCGAUGACUCGGGGAUAGCCUUUCGAAAGAAAGAUUAAUACCCGAUGGCGUAAUUCUUCCGCAUGGUAGAACUAUUAAAGGAUUUCGGUCAUCGAUGGGGAUGCGUUCCAUUAGGUUGUUGGG
Molecule: ribosomal RNA, 246 nt
Filed under: uncultured bacterium
Lineage: Bacteria
Description: partial 16S ribosomal RNA
Rfam family: Bacterial small subunit ribosomal RNA
Source: RNAcentral